RNAcentral lists this ribosomal RNA (388 nucleotides) under uncultured bacterium. RNAcentral describes it as "bacterial SSU rRNA". It matches the Rfam family "Bacterial small subunit ribosomal RNA", at positions 29 to 416 of the family's 1533-position model. The record is from RNAcentral.
AUUGAACGCUGGCGGAAUGCUUUACACAUGCAAGUCGAACGGCAGCACGGGUGCUUGCACCUGGUGGCGAGUGGCGAACGGGUGAGUAAUGCACCGGAAUGUAUCCAAUAAUGGGGGAUAACGCACCGAAAGGUGUGCUAAUACCGCAUACGCCCUGAGGGGGAAAGCGGGGGAUCGUAAGACCUCGCGUUAAUGGAGCGGCCGAUGCCGGAUUAGCUAGUUGGUGAGGUAAAGGCUCACCAAGGCGACGAUCCGUAGCUGGUCUGAGAGGACGACCAGCCACACUGGAACUGAGACACGGUCCAGACUCCUACGGGAGGCAGCAGUGGGGAAUUUUGGACAAUGGGCGGAAGCCUGAUCCAGCCAUGCCGCGUGAGUGAAGAAGGCC